Molecule: unclassified non-coding RNA, 1611 nt
Filed under: Daphnia magna
Lineage: Eukaryota; Metazoa; Arthropoda; Branchiopoda; Diplostraca; Daphniidae
Description: glycine and tyrosine-rich protein-like, transcript variant X1
Source: RNAcentral
GACUACUUUUUUCAGUCUCGUCAGAGACUCCGAUCUGGUGUCACACCGCGACCCACGUGUGACACACCAGUCACACGUGGGUCGCCUCGUCUCAGUCCGCCAUGAAAAGAAAAAGAUAACCGCGUAUCCACCUAAAUCCGGCCCGUCAUCGUCUCAUCGUCGUCUUCGUUUCAUCGUCUCAACGCCGUCUUCGUCUCUUCGUCUCAUUUUUCCACCUUUGUCUCGAAAAUGGCUUCGUUAAACCCAGCAAACAGUAUCUUGCCAGUUGCGUUUAUCUCACGCAAACCUUGGCAGUUGAAUAUAUAAACAGUGAUGGACUUCCCUCUAAGACAGUACCGCAUUCCAGCGUUUACCAGCGAACGUAGCAGACAUGUCGCGCAGUCACUUUUUCUUGGUCGCUUUGUUCCUCGCUGUGCUAGUGGCCAAUUGCUCCGCCAUACCAGCAGUUGAAGUCGAAGAGUCUGCAGUUUCCGCCGUAGUCUCAACAGACCCAACAGUUGAAAAUGCAAGACUUAAACGACAGUUUCUUGCUGGACUCUUGAUAGGAAAAGCUCUUGGAGCUGGAUACGGUUAUGGAUUAGGUCGUUCAGCUUACUAUGGCGGAUAUGGACACUCCUAUCGUGGCUACGGCUAUCCUGGUCCUUACGGCGAUUACGGAUACGGAGGCUACCAUAACUGGUAUGUAUUUCAACAUUGUCUUUUCGAAAUAAACGAGCUGAUUUACAGGAUCGAAUAGUUCCGAGCCAGUGCCAUUUUACAACGUUACUGCAUUCAACAUUUCCCACAGAACGACUGGAAUGAAUGGACAGAAUAAAUUUGUUAUCAGCACCUCCAUAUAAGGAAAAUUUAACAUUUCCCCAAGACUUGCUAUUGUAAAACGUGCGUGAAUAGACCUGAUGCAUGACGUCUGCAAAAACUAGGAUCCGCUCUUGGAAACCGUUUGUCACUUUUUUCACGGCCAUCCUGCGGUCAUCACUUCCACAUACGUAGGCGCCAUGUGUGAUACGACGUCCCAGGACCAAUGAGCUCCAUGAGCGUCACAACAACACCACAUCAAGCAUUGCAGCUGGCAAAAUGGCAUGAGAGGUGAUGCUUUCGCGUCUUAUUCCUUGUUGGGUUUCGACCCUCCUUCCAGCACAACGAUAUGAGUCGCCUGGUAUUCGUACUCAGGGAGGACACUCGCCUAAAGAGACAAUUUGGCGGCGCGCAUGGAUUAUUAAACGGGUUUUUGUAUGGAUACGGCUAUCCUGGAUACGGAUAUGGACGCUAUUCGUAUUACGGCUAUCAGUAACCUUACGUUGGACAUAGACCAGCUUAUGGGUAGGCGAUCUUUAAACGACAUUUUUAGUGUAAAUAUUGACAGGAAUCCAAACGAUUUUUGUUUUUUAACGCGCACAUAGACCAUACGAUUAUUAUGGUCAUCGUUGGAAUGAAUACAGAUUGUGAAAUUCUUAAAAGAAAAUUACUGCACACACGACGAGGAACUAUUUUUAUGAAAAAGAGGUAAAAGUGGAUUAAUUAUGCUUAGCUUGUUUUGGUGAUGGUUCAGAUUUAAAUGUCGAGCAUGGAUGUUGAUUAAUACUGUUAUAGAAUAAAUGAAAUUUUGAAGUA